This 496-nucleotide ribosomal RNA is filed under the name uncultured bacterium. RNAcentral describes it as "bacterial SSU rRNA". It matches the Rfam family "Bacterial small subunit ribosomal RNA", at positions 26 to 518 of the family's 1533-position model. The record is from RNAcentral.
UCGAGGACGAACGCUGGCGGCGUGCCUAAUACAUGCAAGUCGAACGAACUGUGGAAAGCUUGCUUUCAGAGUUAGUGGCGAACGGGUGAGUAACACGUAAGUAACCUAGCUAUUAGACGAGGAUAACUACUGGAAACGGUAGCUAAGACUGGAUAUGAUAGAAAUAUUUAAAGGAUGCUAAGGCGUCGCUAAUAGAGGGGCUUGCGGCGCAUUAGCUAGUUGGUAGGGUAAAAGCCAACCAAGGCGAUGAUGCGUAGCCGACCUGAGAGGGUGACCGGCCACACUGGGACUGAGACACGGCCCAGACUCCUACGGGAGGCAGCAGUAGGGAAUCUUCGGCAAUGGACGGAAGUCUGACCGAGCAACGCCGCGUGAGUGAAGAAAGUUUUCGGAUUGUAAAGCUCUGUUAUUAGGGAAGAAAGGCUCUAGGAGGAAAUGCUUAGGGAUUGACGGUACCUAAUGAGGAAGCCACGGCUAACUACGUGCCAGCCGCAGC